RNAcentral lists this ribosomal RNA (254 nucleotides) under uncultured bacterium. Its description in RNAcentral is "partial 16S ribosomal RNA". It matches the Rfam family "Bacterial small subunit ribosomal RNA", at positions 524 to 776 of the family's 1533-position model. The record is from RNAcentral.
GACAGAGGUGGCUAGCGUUGUUCGGAUUCAUUGGGUGUAAAGGGUGCGUAGGCGGUUUGGAAAGUCAGAUGUGAAAUCCCACAGCUCAACUGUGGAACUGCAUCUGAAACUUCUGAACUCGAGUGCGAGAGAGGUAAAGGGAAUUCCCGGUGUAAGGGUGAAAUCUGCAGAGAUCGGGAGGAACACCAGUAGCGAAGGCGCUUUACUGGCUCGUAACUGACGCUGAGUGCACGAAGGCAUGGGGAGCAAACGGG